Molecule: ribosomal RNA, 253 nt
Filed under: uncultured bacterium
Lineage: Bacteria
Description: partial 16S ribosomal RNA
Rfam family: Bacterial small subunit ribosomal RNA
Source: RNAcentral
UACGAAGGGUGCAAGCGUUACUCGGAAUUACUGGGCGUAAAGCGUGCGUAGGUGGUUUGUUAAGUCUGAUGUGAAAGCCCUGGGCUCAACCUGGGAAUUGCACUGGAUACUGGCAGGCUAGAGUGCGGUAGAGGAGAUUGGAAUUUACGGUGUAGCAGUGAAAUGCGUAGAUAUCGUAAGGAACACCAGUGGCGAAGGCGGCUCACUGGCUCGUAUCUGACGCUCAGGCGCGAUAGCGUGGGGAUCAAACAGG